GUAGGGAAUAUUGCACAAUGGAGGAAACUCUGAUGCAGCGACGCCGCGUGAGUGAUGAAGGCCUUCGGGUCGUAAAGCUCUGUCGCAGGGGAAUAACACAAUGAAGGUACCCUGUAAGAAAGGAUCGGCUAACUUCGUGCCAGCAGCCGCGGUAAGACGAGGGAUCCUAGCGUUGUUCGGAAUCAUUGGGCGUAAAGCGGAUGUAGGUGGCUAUGUAAGUCAGAUGUGAAAGCCUGGGGCUCAACCCCAGAAGUGCAUUUGGUACUGCGUAGCUUGGGUGUCGGAGAGGUUACUAGAAUUGUUGGUGUAGUGGUGAAAUACGUAGAUAUCAACAGGAAUACCGGAGGCGAAGGCGGGUAACUGGCCGAACACUGACACUGAGAUCCGAAAGCGUGGGGAUCAAACAGGAUUAGAUACCCCAGUAGUCC
RNAcentral lists this ribosomal RNA (428 nucleotides) under uncultured bacterium. RNAcentral's name for it is "bacterial SSU rRNA". It matches the Rfam family "Bacterial small subunit ribosomal RNA", at positions 354 to 796 of the family's 1533-position model. The record is from RNAcentral.